AUUGAACGCUGGCGGAAUGCUUUACACAUGCAAGUCGAACGGUAGAGGGGGCAACCCCUCGAGAGUGGCGAACGGGUGAGUAAUAUAUCGGAACGUGCCCAGUCGUGGGGGAUAACGUAGCGAAAGUUACGCUAAUACCGCAUACGAUCUAAGGAUGAAAGCGGGGGAUCGCAAGACCUCGCGCGAUUGAAUGAGCCGAUGUCGGAUUAGCUAGUUGGUGGGGUAAAGGCCUACCAAGGCGACGAUCUGUAGCGGGUCUGAGAAGAUGAUCCGCCACACUGGGACUGAGACACGGCCCAGACUCCUACGGGAGGCAGCAGUGGGGAAUAUUGGACAAUGGGGGGAACCCUGAUCCAGCCAUGCCGCGUGUGUGAAGAAGGCCUUAUGGUUGUAAAGCACUUUAAGCGAGGAGGAGGCUCUUUUGGUUAAUACCCAAGAUGAGUGGACGUUACUCGCAGAAUAAGCACCGGCUAACUCUGUGCCAGCAGCCGCAGUAA
This 497-nucleotide ribosomal RNA is filed under the name uncultured bacterium. Its description in RNAcentral is "partial 16S ribosomal RNA". It matches the Rfam family "Bacterial small subunit ribosomal RNA", at positions 30 to 523 of the family's 1533-position model. The record is from RNAcentral.